CAAAGAAAUACCUAAAAUGUUUAAUCAAUACAGGUUUCAUGGGUAGUUUGUUAAAAACAUCGUACGAGGGUUGGUCGCUUACGUGCUUGGCCGCGUGGCCUAAUGGAUAAGGCGUCUGACUUCGGAUCAGAAGAUUGCAGGUUCGAGUCCUGCCGCGGUCGCAGUUUUUGUUCUUUGUUUUCAUUGAUAGCAUGUGAUUCUCUUCUCGGUAUUUCACCGACCACGUCUGCUUUGACAUAACAAAGGUAGUGUACCUCAACCUUUAAACACACUGAGCCAAGCUUACUGAUGUGGCCGUGACGGAGGAUGUUUUAUUUCACUGCAACACCUGGGUCAUUCCAACCCUGUGAUGCAGCUACAGUUUCCAUAAAUGGUGCUGAGGAUGUUGAGGUGGACUUUGCCGCUAACGAGCAGUAGAGGGCGUGGUGGAGUAUCGCAGCCAUAAGAUGCACUGAAGCAGAUAUCAUCUACUUUCUGUUGCACGUAAUGUUUCGUUUGAAACAAUUGAAUUAAUAUUAAAUAUGCGAAGAUUGUUUCCGAAUUUGUGUAAUUAGCUACAUCUAAAUCACGUGGGCAAAUCUCACUUUAUUUGGAAAACUUAUUUGCAAUAAAACUGGGCCUUGCAGGAUAUGCAAGGCCCAAUAUAAUAAUUGUUUUCUGAGCAUCUAUAAUUGGAAUAAAACUGAAUUUGAAUGAUCUGAGUUACAUGAAAACUAAUUGUAUAAUCAUUAGGAGGGUUAUACCAUCAACACUGACUUACAUUACUGAAACCACAUUGUUUCAACAUUUACUUUUGCUUUUUGGGAGAUCUGUUAUUGACACAGAACUUGUCAAAUAUAGAUGAAGAAAAUAUUGAAAUACAUGUAAAGGGAAUUGUUUAACAUGUCUUGUAGAACAGCAAACGUUCUGGGUUGUGGACUAAAGGGGACUGGAAUCAAGAACAGUAGAAAACCGUGUUUAAAGACUUUAAGGAAAACACUGAACAAGCAAGAACGUGCCUGCAAAUCUUGACCAAAAACCACAUGUGGGAUUAAAAACUGUCUUCUGUUUGUGACUCAUUGAACUUAAAAGAAAAUCUUUAAUGGGACUCAGACACAAGAGUGUGGGCGCAGAUGUUUGAACUGGAAAGUUUUGCACAUGAGGAACAAUUAAAAAAAAAAAAAAGGCUGUGUCUCUGAACGCAAAACUACCAGAAACAUUUACUGGUGCUCAUGAAGGUCAAACGAUAUUAAUAUUAGUUGAGAGUAACUGUUAAUCUCUGUUAUAAAAAUAUGAUUUUAUGUUUAUGUACAGAAGAAGUCUCCUCAUCUCUCUCUGCACUGAAACGUGUAGACCUGCUAUAAAGCAUACUUUUCCCUGUCUUCUCCCACUCACCGCUUCACUGAGGUUUUAUGCUUCUCAUUCGUCAUAUCUAAUCCUGUGCUUUGGAUUUCAGCUACACCCUGGCCUUUUUUCACCCCUUCUUCCGAGAGGUUGACUGUUUUCUUUGUGACUGGAUCAAAAGGAACUUUGCAUCUUGAUCUAUCCUGAUUAUUGCUCUGCUCUCUUUCGACUCUUGGACUUUAGAAUGUGUCUGGCCAGCUGUUGAUGAAGAUGGACGCAGCAUCUGAGUGCUUGAAAAAAAAGUAUGGGGCUAUUACUGAAGAGCUGCUGAGUGGCAUGUUACUCAUGUGCAUUGCAUUUGCAGCGAACAGGCGUGCUGUCUCUUAAAUGCAUCCGUCUGCCCGUGCGCCUCAGCCACUGCUGGUAGCUAGUAAUUCCUCCCAAGUGGAAAAUCUCUACCAUUACCUGCACUGCGAGGCAGGAGGGCAGGAUGGCCAGCCUCCAGACAGCCGCUCCUUCGUGGGACAGCGCCUCCUCCAGCGCCCAGACAUCAUUUUUUGGAAUAAAAUGAAGGUUGCCUCCUGCACCGCUCAGCUGCACCUCUGUGCCUCUGUGUGCAAGAAAGAGUGCAGAGCUGCCUCAUCUCCUCAAUUUACUCAAACGGGCCUCGUGCAUGCGUUGGUUUCACGCUGUGGACAAUUCACAUGUUGCCUAUGGAUUGUGUUGCGGGCUGUACACACAAAUGAUGGUGUUUUUUUAAAAAAAAAAGUUGCAGCCUGCAGUGCUUCAUGAGAAUAAAUGUUGUCUUCCAUGAAAACCAAAUAAAUAAAUAAACAUAUAAGUAUAUUGUGCUUUGUUUUAUAGCUAUCUAAUUAGUUACUUUAACAACUUAUUUGAGCAUGAGUCAUUUGGUUUGAAAUAGUAUCAUAUUUGACUGGAAAUAGUAUUAUAAUUGACUGGU
Mugil cephalus (flathead mullet) is the source of this 2284-nucleotide long non-coding RNA. RefSeq lists it as uncharacterized. The record is from RefSeq and is a predicted model, not a curated record. Lineage: Eukaryota; Metazoa; Chordata; Actinopteri; Mugiliformes; Mugilidae. The transcript has 4 exons.